UAGGGAAUAUUGCUUAAUGGGCGAAAGCCUGAAGCAGCAACGCCGCGUGUGCGAUGAAGGCCUUCGGGUUGUAAAGCACUUUUUGAGGGGAUGAGGAAGGACAGUACCCUCAGAAUAAGCCUCGGCUAACUACGUGCCAGCAGCCGCGGUAAAACGUAGGAGGCAAGCGUUAUCCGGAUUUACUGGGCGUAAAGCGCGUGCAGGCGGCUCGAAAAGUUGGAUGUGAAAGCUCCUGGCUUAACUGGGAGAGGUCGUUCAAUACUUUCGGGCUAGAGGAUGGGAGAGGGAGGUGGAAUUCCGGGUGUAGUGGUGAAAUGCGUAGAUAUCCGGAGGGACACCAGUGGCGAAGGCGGCCUCCUGGCCCAUUUCUGACGCUCAGACGCGAAAGCUAGGGUAGCAAACGG
This 404-nucleotide ribosomal RNA is filed under the name uncultured bacterium. RNAcentral describes it as "bacterial SSU rRNA". It matches the Rfam family "Bacterial small subunit ribosomal RNA", at positions 355 to 775 of the family's 1533-position model. The record is from RNAcentral.